UUUCGAGGUAGGAGUCGACUCCUGUGAGGUAUGGUGCUGGGUGCAGAUGCAGUGUGGCUCUGGAUAGCACCUUAUGGACAGUUGUGUCCCCAAGGAAGGAUGAGAAUAGCUACUGAAGUCCUAAAGAGCAAGCCUAACUCAAGCCAUUGGCACACAGGCAUUAGACAGAAAGCUGGAAGUUGAAAUGGUAUGGAGAGUCGGCUUGACUACACUGUGUGGAGCAAGUUUUAAAGAAGCAAAGGACUCAGAAUUCAUGAUUGAAGAAAUGCAGGUUAGUUUAAACUUUGAAGGAAAUUUUUAAGGUGGCAAAAGGUUUUGGUGGCAUAUACACCUUAAUCUGUAGAUGGGAGUGAUUAGCUGUUUAAAAGUUAAAAUGUGACUGAGAAGGAAAUUGAGUAGGGCAAAUUUUAAAUGGGUAUUAUUUUUCAUCUUCAAACAGGCAGACCUGUUAUCCUAAACUAGGGUUUUUAAUGACCACAACAAGCAAGCAUGCAGCUUACUGCUUGAAAGGGUCUUGCCUCACCCAAGCUAGAGUGCAGUGGCCUUUGAAGCUUACUACAGCCUCAAACUUCUGGGCUCAAGUGAUCCUCAGCCUCCCAGUGGUCUUUGUAGACUGCCUGAUGGAGUCUCAUGGCACAAGAAGAUUAAAACAGUGUCUCCAAUUUUAAUAAAUUUUUGCAAUCC
This 684-nucleotide long non-coding RNA is filed under the name Homo sapiens (human). RNAcentral describes it as "non-protein coding GAS5:17". Lineage: Eukaryota; Metazoa; Chordata; Mammalia; Primates; Hominidae. The record is from RNAcentral.